GUACUCGAGUGGCGAACGGGUGAGUAACACGUGGGUGAUCUGCCUUGCACUUCGGGAUAAGCUUGGGAAACUGGGUCUAAUACCGGAUAGGACAGCUGUUUAGUGUCAGUUGUGGAAAGUUUUUUCGGUGCAAGAUGAGCUCGCGGCCUAUCAGCUUGUUGGUGGGGUAAUGGCCUACCAAGGCGUCGACGGGUAGCCGGCCUGAGAGGGUGUACGGCCACAUUGGGACUGAGAUACGGCCCAGACUCCUACGGGAGGCAGCAGUGGGGAAUAUUGCACAAUGGGCGGAAGCCUGAUGCAGCGACGCCGCGUGGGGGAUGAAGGCCUUCGGGUUGUAAACUCCUUUCGACAGGGACGAAGCGUAAGUGACGGUACCUGUAUAAGAAGCACCGGCUAACUACGUGCCAGCAGCCGCGGUAAUACGUAGGGUGCGAGCGUUGUCCGGAAUUACUGGGCGUAAAGAGCUCGUAGGUGGUUUGUCGCGUCGUCUGUGAAAUUCCGGGGCUUAACUCCGGGCGUGCAGGCGAUACGGGCUGACUUGAGUGCUGUAGGGGAGACUGGAAUUCCUGGUGUAGCGGUGAAAUGCGCAGAUAUCAGGAGGAACACCGAUGGCGAAGGCAGGUCUCUGGGCAGUAACUGACGCUGAGGAGCGAAAGCAUGGGUAGCGAACAGGAUUAGAUACCCUGGUAGCCCAUGCCGUAAACGGUGGGCGCUAGGUGUAGGGGGCUUCCACGUCUUCUGUGCCGUAGCUAACGCAUUAAGCGCCCCGCCUGGGGAGUACGCCG
This 785-nucleotide ribosomal RNA is filed under the name uncultured Actinomycetes bacterium. Its description in RNAcentral is "bacterial SSU rRNA". It matches the Rfam family "Bacterial small subunit ribosomal RNA", at positions 87 to 887 of the family's 1533-position model. The record is from RNAcentral. Lineage: Bacteria; Bacillati; Actinomycetota; Actinomycetes.